GUCUGUUCUCAGAGCGAUGGGCCGCGGAGACUGAUCUGCCGCCAUGAUUGGAGGCUUAUUCAUCUAUAAUCACAAGGGGGAGGUGCUCAUCUCCCGAGUCUACCGAGAUGACAUCGGGAGGAACGCAGUGGAUGCCUUUCGGGUCAAUGUUAUCCAUGCCCGGCAGCAGGUGCGCAGCCCCGUCACCAACAUUGCUCGCACCAGCUUCUUCCACGUUAAGCGGUCCAACAUUUGGCUGGCAGCAGUCACCAAGCAGAAUGUCAACGCUGCCAUGGUCUUCGAAUUCCUCUAUAAGAUGUGUGACGUGAUGGCUGCCUACUUUGGCAAGAUCAGCGAGGAAAACAUCAAGAACAAUUUUGUGCUCAUAUAUGAGCUGCUGGAUGAGAUUCUAGACUUUGGCUACCCACAGAAUUCCGAGACAGGCGCGCUGAAAACCUUCAUCACGCAGCAGGGCAUCAAGAGUCAGCAUCAGACAAAAGAAGAGCAGUCACAGAUCACCAGCCAGGUGACUGGGCAGAUUGGCUGGCGGCGAGAGGGUAUCAAGUAUCGCCGGAAUGAGCUCUUCCUGGAUGUGCUGGAGAGUGUGAACCUGCUUAUGUCCCCACAAGGUGAGGUCCCUCUCACAACAAAGUUGGAGGGGGCCCAGGGCAGGAUCCUGGGCCUGCCUGCCUGACUCCGCUGCUCCCCAUUUAUCUGUUCCAUCACCAGGGCAGGUGCUGAGUGCCCAUGUGUCGGGCCGGGUGGUGAUGAAGAGCUACCUGAGUGGCAUGCCUGAAUGCAAGUUUGGGAUGAAUGACAAGAUUGUUAUUGAAAAGCAGGGCAAAGGCACAGCUGAUGAAACAAGCAAGAGGUGCCUGAGGCAGGAGAGCUGGUGGGAAAGGGUGUCCCUUGGAGGGCUCAGUGGGGUCUA
RNAcentral lists this small RNA (910 nucleotides) under Pongo abelii (Sumatran orangutan). Its description in RNAcentral is "retained intron". The record is from RNAcentral. Lineage: Eukaryota; Metazoa; Chordata; Mammalia; Primates; Hominidae.